Molecule: ribosomal RNA, 409 nt
Filed under: uncultured bacterium
Lineage: Bacteria
Description: bacterial SSU rRNA
Rfam family: Bacterial small subunit ribosomal RNA
Source: RNAcentral
CUCAGAGCGAACGUUAGCGGCGGGCCUAACACAUGCAAGUCGAACGCGAAAGGUCUUCGGACUGAUUGAGUGGCGCACGGGUGAGUAACACGUAGGUAAUCUACCCUUUGGCGGGGGAUAACGUUCCGAAAGGGACGCUAAUACCGCAUAAGACCACGACGUCUUUGGACGAUGUGGGAAAAGGUGGCCUCUUCUUGAAAGCUACCACCGGAGGAUGAGCCUGCGUCCCAUCAGCUAGUUGGUAAGGUAAUGGCUUACCAAGGCGAAGACGGGUAGCUGGUUUGAGAGAAUGAUCAGCCACACUGGCACUGGAACACGGGGCCAGACUCCUACGGGAGGCAGCAGUGAGGAAUAUUGGGGCAAUGGGGCGAAAGCCUGACCCAGCCACGCCGCGUGAGUGAUGAAGGCC